Molecule: microRNA precursor, 50 nt
Filed under: Podarcis lilfordi (Lilford's wall lizard)
Lineage: Eukaryota; Metazoa; Chordata; Lepidosauria; Squamata; Lacertidae
Source: RNAcentral
UAUGUGUGUGUGUGUGUGUAUGUGUACACACACACACACGCACACACAUG